GAGCACAAUCAUCAACAGACUAACGAUUGGCUUUGGGAUACUAUUCCCAAUAGUUAGCACAUUGUAUUAACCCAAGUUCCUAAUUUGGUUUGGUUCAAAGUGUUUGAGCCUACCUAGACCAAUUGCCUUUGACAUAAUGGAAUUGGGUCAAUCUAAGUUAGAUCCUUAUCCAACUUGAACCAAUUUUAAGUGGAGAAAGACUCCUCAACGCCC
This 213-nucleotide long non-coding RNA is filed under the name Elaeis guineensis (African oil palm). Its description in RNAcentral is "long non-coding RNA (EGUI_LNC080246)". Lineage: Eukaryota; Viridiplantae; Streptophyta; Magnoliopsida; Arecales; Arecaceae. The record is from RNAcentral.